This 425-nucleotide ribosomal RNA is filed under the name uncultured bacterium. RNAcentral's name for it is "bacterial SSU rRNA". It matches the Rfam family "Bacterial small subunit ribosomal RNA", at positions 355 to 773 of the family's 1533-position model. The record is from RNAcentral.
UGGGGAAUCUUGCGCAAUGGGCGAAAGCCUGACGCAGCAACGCCGCGUGAGGGAAGAAGGCCUUCGGGUUGUAAACCUCUUUCAGAGGGGACGAAGCCUCCGGGGUUAAUAGCCUACGGGGUGACGGUACCCCCAGAAGAAGCCCCGGCUAACUACGUGCCAGCAGCCGCGGUAAUACGUAGGGGGCAAGCGUUGUCCGGAAUCAUUGGGCGUAAAGCGCGUGUAGGCGGCUUGGUAAGUCUGGUGUGAAACCUCGGGGCUCAACCCCGAGCCUGCACUGGAUACUGCCUCGCUCGAGUCCGGGAGGGGAGAGCGGAAUUCCUAGUGUAGCGGUGAAAUGCGCAGAUAUUAGGAAGAACACCGGUGGCGAAGGCGGCUCUCUGGAACGGUACUGACGCUGAGACGCGAAAGCGUGGGGAGCAAAC